This 254-nucleotide ribosomal RNA is filed under the name uncultured bacterium. RNAcentral's name for it is "partial 16S ribosomal RNA". It matches the Rfam family "Bacterial small subunit ribosomal RNA", at positions 524 to 776 of the family's 1533-position model. The record is from RNAcentral.
UACGGGGGGGGGCAAGCGUUGUUCGGAAUUACUGGGCGUAAAGGGCUCGUAGGCGGCCAACUAAGUCAGACGUGAAAUCCCUCGGCUUAACCGGGGAACUGCGUCUGAUACUGGAUGGCUUGAGUUCGGGAGAGGGACGCGGAAUUCCAGGUGUAGCGGUGAAAUGCGUAGAUAUCUGGAGGAACACCGGUGGCGAAGGCGGCGUCCUGGACCAAUACUGACACUGAAACGCGAAAGCCAGGGGAGCAAACGGG